UCUUUCUCCAUUUCGGCCUGAUAGUAUGACUUUUGACUGAUAGUAGUGAAUCUUUGAGCUAUGUCAGCCAUUGGUUUUAAAAUGUCGCCUUUUUGCUAGUUUAUAUGUUCAGACCUCGUCCUUUGCUGUCUAUGCUGCCUUUUGAUCUUCUCGUCGUAUCGAAUUCGAGGAAUUAUAUGCCGGUUCUUCCUCGUGCCGUAGAAAUUUUUAUGCCAACGGCCAGGGUGACUACCAAGUUUCUUGUGUUAGUGUGCAAUGUGAAAGGUGACUCCUUUAUCUUAUGCCUGUGUCUAAGAAAGGACUGAUCUUGCAGUUGCAUUGAGAGUCACAAACACGCCCUGUUUGCUUUUAAUGAGCCAGCCAUUCAUUGAUGAGAAACAUCUCUCUCAUUUGGGUGGCAUUGUCCUUUGUAUAUUGUCAAAGGGCCAACAAUUUCUAACAUGAUAAGCCUGUUUCGGAAUGGUAUUGAAGGUGAGAUGAUUAGAAGGGGGUGGGUGGGGUUGGAAGAAGGUGUAGAAGUAGCCAAACUGCCAGGCAAUGAUCCCACAAGGAAUUGUUCGAGAAAGCAAGUCUAGUCCAUUAAGUCGAAAGCAACUCUAAUGCCUUUCUCGCUCUGGUGGUCUGGACCUGUUUUCAUGUCUCCAAAUCAAAGCUCUGAUGGUUCAUACUUUGUGUAAUCUGUCAGUCAAGGAGGGGCUAGACCUCGAGCUUCCAGCUCCUAGCUAAUGAAAGGGUUCCCGCUACAUCUGAAUGAUAGCAGGCGCAAUUACUUGCAAUAACUUACAAUUUCAUACUUCUCAAGUGCCAACUGAGAGGUGGCUUCGUGCAGUUGUACAAUUUGGAAGAACAAGGUCCUGGAACUCCUCAAGAUCAUUUAAAUGACAAGAACUCGUCCAGUUCCCGCGGUCUCAAA
Molecule: non-coding RNA, 913 nt
Organism: Punica granatum (pomegranate)
Lineage: Eukaryota; Viridiplantae; Streptophyta; Magnoliopsida; Myrtales; Lythraceae
Source: RefSeq, a predicted model, not a curated record